Molecule: long non-coding RNA, 485 nt
Filed under: Monodelphis domestica (gray short-tailed opossum)
Lineage: Eukaryota; Metazoa; Chordata; Mammalia; Didelphimorphia; Didelphidae
Description: lncRNA (ENSMODG00000041161.1)
Source: RNAcentral
CAAACUGCUUCCAUACCUUUUUGGAGGAAACCUCAAAUGGGGUCAUAAAAAGUCAGACACUGAAGAACAUUUCCAUUGGACACUGAAAUGACUGAAUAACAAGAAGAACAUUUAACACAGUACCUGGAUCAUUGGCUCUUUAACAACAUAAUUCUCCUUGAGCUGCUAUAUGACUGGAGUUAUGAAGCUCAAAGUCUCAGAACAAUCAUUUUUGAAGAAAAUAAAAUGGGUUUUAUAAAUGAUGUAGCUGAUUACUUUACCAUCAUAAAAUUUACCUAUGAUAACAAUUCCUAUUAUCUGAGAUUUGUGUAUGAGAAAAGUGAGGCUCAAAUUGAAUGACGAUUUUCCAAGAUAACACAAUUAUUGCCAGAUAUAAGGAAGCUGAAGUCCUGGUAAGGAAGAGGCAAGAAAGAAGUGAAGCAGAGAACACAGGAAGAUCUGGAGAAAGAAAUUCAAUUCCUGAUGAAUAUUUACUACCUGAAUGA